This 2428-nucleotide long non-coding RNA is filed under the name Oryctolagus cuniculus (rabbit). RNAcentral describes it as "lncRNA (ENSOCUG00000039140.1)". Lineage: Eukaryota; Metazoa; Chordata; Mammalia; Lagomorpha; Leporidae. The record is from RNAcentral.
AAAAAGAGAUUAGUAGGGAUCCAGCUUUCAGAGGGGGCAGCCUGUGGGCAAAUCCUGACCAUUUUACUUCCUGCACUGGCAGAACUCUCCUCCCAGAUGGGCUACAAAGAGGCAAGUUGAGGGCGGCGGCGAGGCGGCCGCAGGUUCAGCGUCUGGAGCCCAGGGCCUGGACCGCCUUCUCGCCCGCCUUUCCAGGCGGUGGCUGGUCACGUCGCGAGGAGGCGGGGCGGGAGGCGGGGCCUGCGUGGGGCUGGCUGGCGGCCAGGCUUCUUCGCACGUGGAGUCACCCCGAGGAGGAGGCCGCCCGGGUCGCGGACUGGAGGGAUCCGGACCCGCACAGCGGCAGGGAGCCGCCGGGCUCCAGCGCACGCGGGACUGAGAAGGUUGAUGGAGACGACCGGGCUACGGCACCUGCUGGGACAGUGCGCUCUGUAAUAGGGAGCAGCUGUGUCUCGUGUGCAGGUCCAGAUCACAUGGCAGUGUGUAAGUACAGCGUAGCUUAGUGACUGUGUGCACAGGUAGGACUAACGGUGAUCUCCUCCCAGCUCUGUACAUCGUACUUCACAAGCACUUCACUGUUAGCUCUGGUUCUCUAAACAGUGGCAAACUGCAUUAUAGCAGCAUUGCUGUGCGACACUGCUAUUGAAUAUAGCCAGUUUAGUUUCCUGUAUUCCAGUGUACUAUUAUUUACUACAGUUGGGAAAUGAACAUAGAAAUUACAUGAAUAAGACAUUGGUAAAAUAAUUCAGACAUUUCCCACAAUAUAAUUACAUUUCAUUAUUUUGUAAUUAGGCAGUCUUAAAAAUUUAUUUUCAUUUUUCUAUUUGAAAGGCAGCAAGACAGAGACAGAGUGAUUUCUUCUGCGAGUUAAUUCCUCAGAUGCCCACAACUGCUGCGGCUAGCCAGGCUGAAGCCAAGAGACCGGAACUCAGUCCAGGCCUCCCACAUGGGUGGCAUAGACCCAAGCACUUGAGCCACAUCCACUGCCUCCCAGGGUGCCCAUUAACAGGAAUGCUGGAAUCUGGAGCAGAGCCAGGACUUCAGCCUAGAGGCUCCAACAUGGGAUGAGGGUAUCUAACUCCUGUGCCAAACACCUGCCCUAAUUUAGGCAGUCUUAACGUCAGGUUUUUUUCCACCUCUCUCUUAGAGUUAUCUCAUUUACAGUUUUAAGGUAUGACAAAUAUUCAGGCUGCAAAGUCUUGUAAAAUUUUAGGCACUUGCUAAAAUAAGGAAUUUUGAGGGUGGGGUCAUUUUGCAUGAGUAGAGACUUCGGUUAAAUGGCUUAAAGAAAUGUAAGCCAAGAGCUUCUAAAUAAGAUUGUGAGGUCUGCCAGUGUAGAUCUAGGUUUACAAACACUGGUGGGUCCAACCACACACUGCCAGCACAAAUGCUAACGAGGUUGUAAAGUUAUCGCUCAGUUUCUUCUGAAUAACUCUAAGUAAAACAGAAACCCAAAUGAAGCAAGUAUUGAGAAUAUAUGUAGGUUGUUUUUAUAAGCAGAAAACUAAAGAUGCUCAAAAAUAACUCCAUUUCUAAGGCUUAUUAUUAGUGAAGACCAAGAUCUAUGUUUUGUAACUCCCAGAAACCCGUGCUAAGUGUUUGUCCAUCCUUUUGUUUUGCUUGGUUUUUGUUUUAGAAUAUUAAAGAUAAAUUCACCAUUCUUUGCAUGCACAAACAUCUCUGGGACCAACUAAGUUCAGUUUAAGGCAAGAUAAGUGUAAGUAGCAUAAGCCAUCGUUUAUAUGGAAAUAAGCCUGCUAGAUUCCCACUGUGGGAAUGCUGUCAGAGAGGUUGGAAUUCAGAGCCGCAGUACUCCUGAAGAGUGCUAAACCCUUUUUGCAAACCUUUUCCAGUGUACAAGCUUGCUUAUGCUUCCUGCUACCACGAUGCACACUCUUGGGUUCUUCGGGUCCUUCAGGCCUGUGACUCCUGUUGCUGAUUUGAUUGGAAUGAUCAAGAAAGCAAGGCAUUGUGGAAAGACACAAUGGGUAACCAGUAAAGUCUGCUGCUUAUGACAAUCGACGUAAUUGGCAGUGCCAACAAUUGGCCAAGUUGACUUCUUAUUUCAGUACUUUCAAAAUUAAUUAAAAUGUUGUGUUAGGGUUGGUGCUGUGGCACAGCAGAGUAAGCCUCCACCUGUGGCACUGGCAUCCCAUAAGGGUGCCGGUUCAUGUCCCAGCUGCUCUUCCAAUCCAGCUCCCUGCUAUGGCCUGGGAAAGCAGUAGAAGAUGGCCCAAGUGCCUGAGCCCCUGCACCCAUGUGGGAGACCCUGAAGAAGCUCCUUUCUCCUGGCUUCGUCUUAGCUCUGGCCACUGCAGCCAUCUGGGGAAUGAACCAGUGGAUGGCAGACCUCUCUGUCUCUCCCUCUCUCUGCUUGUAGCUCUGCCUUUCAAAUAAAUAAAUAAAUAAAAUAUUGAAAAUAAAUUUU